The submitters of this non-coding RNA (37 nucleotides) gave its source as unclassified sequences. The record is from Rfam.
GCGGCGGAAUCCGAAAAGCCAUACAAUAGAGUAGGAG